RNAcentral lists this unclassified non-coding RNA (308 nucleotides) under plant metagenome. Its description in RNAcentral is "partial contains 5.8S ribosomal RNA, internal transcribed spacer 2, and large subunit ribosomal RNA". The stretch from base 1 to 106 matches the Rfam family "5.8S ribosomal RNA", at positions 49 to 154 of the family's 154-position model. The record is from RNAcentral.
CGAAAUGCGAUAAGUAAUGUGAAUUGCAGAAUUCAGUGAAUCAUCGAAUCUUUGAACGCGCAUUGCGCCCGCCAGCACUCUGGCGGGCAUGCCUGUUCGAGCGUCAUUUCAACCCUCAGAACCCCUUGCGGGAUCUGGCGUUGGGGAUUGGCAUCCAGCCAGCCCCGAAAUCUAGUGGCGGUCCCUCCGCGACCUCCCCUGUGCAGUAGCGAUACCUCGCAGCGGGACAGCGGUCUGACCACGCCGUAAAACCCCCAACUUCUCAAGGUUGACCUCGAAUCAGGUAGGAAUACCCGCUGAACUUAAGC